UUCAAUACUGAAUAUUUAUAUUCAGUGUGCACUUCUCUUUUAGUAAGACGUUGUGAUCCAUUAGGAAUUGAUUGUACCAUAUGGUUUACAAUUAUUAGGCUACCAAUAGUCUGGUAUUGAAGUUCACGAUGAUAAACAAUAUAAUUUUAAAUAAUUGUAUAUAUUAUCUUGUGAGCAUAUCAUGCACUGGUGUAGCUGCCUGAUGGAUUUUAAAGGCCAUAGCAUUAAUAUUUUCGAAUAUUAUCAGCUAUUUAAUUAGCUGAAGUGAGUUAUGUGCCCGAUCAACAACGGUUUCAUUUGGGAUACCUUUGGGACCCGUCUUGAAACACGGACCAAGGAGUCUAUUUAGUAUGCAAGUAAAUGGGAAUUUAUUAAAACCUAUUUGCGUAAAUAACUUAACUGUUCAAUGGGAUUACGAGUGUUUCAGAAUUUAUUUUGAGCAUUCCUCCAUCCCGGGGUAUUUUCACAAUAUAUAUGGUGCAAAUCAUAUAUAGAAAAUAUACCAUGAGCAUACUGGAUAUGACCCGAAAGAUGGUGAACUAUGCCUGAUCAGGUUGAAGUCAGGGGAAACCCUGAUGGAGGACCGAAGCAAUUCUGACGUGCAAAUCG
This 609-nucleotide ribosomal RNA is filed under the name Tanypus sp. SRM-2009. RNAcentral's name for it is "eukaryotic LSU rRNA". It matches the Rfam family "Eukaryotic large subunit ribosomal RNA", at positions 436 to 900 of the family's 3401-position model. Lineage: Eukaryota; Metazoa; Arthropoda; Insecta; Diptera; Chironomidae. The record is from RNAcentral.